RNAcentral lists this ribosomal RNA (408 nucleotides) under uncultured bacterium. Its description in RNAcentral is "partial 16S ribosomal RNA". It matches the Rfam family "Bacterial small subunit ribosomal RNA", at positions 28 to 526 of the family's 1533-position model. The record is from RNAcentral.
GACGAACGCUGCCGGCGUGCUUAACACAUGCAAGUCGAAGGGAGUGGCGAACGGGUGAGUAACACGUGCGUAACCUGCCCUUUUCUUUGGGAUAAGACUGGGAAACUGGGUCUAAUACUGGAUGGAUUGGGAUGGGCUGGCGGCUUAUCAGCUUGUUGGUGGGGUGAUGGCUUACCAAGGCUUUGACGGGUAGACGGCCUGAGCGGGUGGUCGGUCACACUGGGACUGAGAUACGGCCCAGACUGCUACGGGGGGCAGCAGUGGGGGAUAUGGCACAAUGGACGAUAGGCCGAUGCAGCGACGUCGUGUGGGGGAUGAAGGCCUUCGGGUUGUAAACUCCUUUCGCCCGCGAAAUGGUAUUCGGUAAAGAAGCGCCGGCUAACUACGUGCCAGCAGCCGCGGUAAUAC